UGGGGAAUCUUGCACAAUGGGGGCAACCCUGAUGCAGCGACGCCGCGUGAGCGAUGAAGCCCUUCGGGGCGUAAAGCUCUUUCGACCGGAACGAUAAUGACGGUACCGGGAGAAGAAGCUGCGGCUAAAUACGUGCCAGCAGCCGCGGUAAUACGUAGGCAGCAAGCGUUGUUCGGAGUUACUGGGCGUAAAGAGUGCGUAGGCGGUUUUCUAAGUUCGGUGUGAAAUCUCCCGGCUUAACUGGGAGGGUGCGCCGAAGACUGGGAAGCUGGAGUGUGGGAAAGGCAGGCGGAAUUCCUGGUGUAGCGGUGAAAUGCGUAGAUAUCAGGAGGAACACCGGCGGUGUAGACGGCUUGCUAGACCAUAACUGACGCUGAGGCACGAAAGCGUGGGUAGCAAACA
Molecule: ribosomal RNA, 402 nt
Filed under: uncultured bacterium
Lineage: Bacteria
Description: bacterial SSU rRNA
Rfam family: Bacterial small subunit ribosomal RNA
Source: RNAcentral